UAGGGAAUCUUCCGCAAUGGACGCAAGUCUGACGGAGCAACGCCGCGUGAGUGAAGAAGGUUUUCGGAUCGUAAAACUCUGUUGUUAGAGAAGAACAAGUGCUAGAGUAACUGUUAGCGCCUUGACGGUAUCUAACCAGAAAGCCACGGCUAACUACGUGCCAGCAGCCGCGGUAAUACGUAGGUGGCAAGCGUUGUCCGGAUUUAUUGGGCGUAAAGCGAGCGCAGGCGGUUCCUUAAGUCUGAUGUGAAAGCCCCCGGCUCAACCGGGGAGGGUCAUUGGAAACUGGGGAACUUGAGUGCAGAAGAGGAGAGUGGAAUUCCAUGUGUAGCGGUGAAAUGCGUAGAUAUAUGGAGGAACACCAGUGACGAAGGCGACUCUCUGGUCUGUAACUGACGCUGAGGCUCGAAAGCGUGGGUAGCAAACAGGAUUAGAUACCCUGGUAGUCCACGCCGUAAACGAUGAGUGCUAAGUGUUGGAGGGUUUCCGCCCUUCAGUGCUGCAGUUAACGCAUUAAGCACUCCGCCUGGAGAGUACGACCGCAAGGUUG
RNAcentral lists this ribosomal RNA (550 nucleotides) under uncultured bacterium. RNAcentral describes it as "bacterial SSU rRNA". It matches the Rfam family "Bacterial small subunit ribosomal RNA", at positions 355 to 896 of the family's 1533-position model. The record is from RNAcentral.